UGGGGAAUUUUGGACAAUGGGGGAAACCCUGAUCCAGCCAUCCCGCGUGUGCGAUGAAGGCCUUCGGGUUGUAAAGCACUUUUGGCAGGAAAGAAGCGUCGCGGGUUAAUACCCCGCGAAACUGACGGUACCUGCAGAAUAAGCACCGGCUAACUACGUGCCAGCAGCCGCGGUAAUACGUAGGGUGCAAGCGUUAAUCGGAAUUACUGGGCGUAAAGCGUGCGCAGGCGGUUCGGAAAGAAAGAUGUGAAAUCCCAGAGCUUAACUUUGGAACUGCAUUUUUAACUACCGGGCUAGAGUGUGUCAGAGGGAGGUGGAAUUCCGCGUGUAGCAGUGAAAUGCGUAGAUAUGCGGAGGAACACCGAUGGCGAAGGCAGCCUCCUGGGAUAACACUGACGCUCAUGCACGAAAGCGUGGGGGAGCAAACAGGAUUAGAUACCCUGGUAGUCCACGCCCUAAACGAUGUCAACUAGCUGUUGGGGCCUUCGGGCCUUGGUAGCGCAGCUAACGCGUGAAGUUGACCGCCUGGGGAGUNCGGUCGCAAGAUUAAAACUUAAAUGAAUUGACGGGGGUCAUAGCUG
Molecule: ribosomal RNA, 581 nt
Filed under: uncultured bacterium
Lineage: Bacteria
Description: partial 16S ribosomal RNA
Rfam family: Bacterial small subunit ribosomal RNA
Source: RNAcentral